Molecule: ribosomal RNA, 253 nt
Filed under: uncultured bacterium
Lineage: Bacteria
Description: partial 16S ribosomal RNA
Rfam family: Bacterial small subunit ribosomal RNA
Source: RNAcentral
UACGUAGGGUGCAGGCGUUAAUCGGAAUUACUGGGCGUAAAGCGUGCGCAGGCGGUUUCUUAAGUCAGAUGUGAAAGCCCUGGGCUCAACCUGGGAACGGCAUUGGAAACUGGCUUACUAGAGUGCGGUAGAGGGGUGUGGAAUUCCCGGUGUAGCAGUGAAAUGCGUAGAUAUCGGGAGGAACAUCUGUGGCGAAGGCGACACCCUGGACCAGCACUGACACUGAGGCACGAAAGCGUGGGGAGCAAACAGG